GAUCAAACGACAACUAACCAACAAUGUUCCAGAUUCGGACUCCAUUGGCAACCUUAAUCAAUUUCACAUCUAUAAAGUCACAAAAUACCGUUUAAUUAUUUAUUAAGCUUUAAUACCGUGACAGGACGUAGGGUGAGAGAUCCUUACUUGUUUCGGGGUCUAAAAUCGACUCUACAGUGUGCCUACGGGCUGUCCUUAAUUUCUCUAAAUUUUUUUCGGAAAACUGAAACGCACUACCGGUACCUGCACGUGUCCCAAAAAAUUCCAAUUCAGACCUAGGGCCCUUUUCGGCCAAUAUCAGAAUUCCAGCACGGCGGCUCCGCCGUGCUCCGGCGACGGUGCCGCCGCCUGCGUCGGCGAUCUGUCUCGGGUUGGCUGUUUUCGGUCAUUUUUGACAGAAUUUGGCCAAACUUGCAUUGGUCCCUGUGAUAAA
Molecule: long non-coding RNA, 433 nt
Filed under: Carica papaya (papaya)
Lineage: Eukaryota; Viridiplantae; Streptophyta; Magnoliopsida; Brassicales; Caricaceae
Description: long non-coding RNA (CPAP_LNC015023)
Source: RNAcentral